Leersia perrieri is the source of this 170-nucleotide microRNA precursor. The record is from Rfam. NCBI's taxonomy places the organism in Eukaryota, Viridiplantae, Streptophyta, Magnoliopsida, Poales, Poaceae.
AGGAUGAGAUCCGCUCAGGCUAGCCAAGGAGACUGCCCGUGAGAUCACAUUGCAGAAGCAGAAUUCAUCAAUACAUCCACUGCAUAAGCAGAGAAUCUGAAGAACUCUCCUACUGCAGGAGUGAAGCCACAGGCAAGUCAUCCUUGGCUACCAGAUGCGAGAUCUCAUCA